Molecule: long non-coding RNA, 203 nt
Filed under: Elaeis guineensis (African oil palm)
Lineage: Eukaryota; Viridiplantae; Streptophyta; Magnoliopsida; Arecales; Arecaceae
Description: long non-coding RNA (EGUI_LNC042634)
Source: RNAcentral
UCUAUUAAAGUGCAUGAUAAUGAGUUUAAUAUUCUAAAUAGGUAUUGGAGGUGCCACAUGCCUAGUGUCUAUUAUAUAUGGCCAUCAUGAUGUGCCUUCAGAUCAAUGCUCACGUUGGUCGAGCCACACUCGGAUCUGAACAUUUAUUUGUUGGAUGUACUUGGUAUUAUCAUGUUAAUCAUUAUACAUAAUCUGGAUUUUCA